Gossypium raimondii (Peruvian cotton) is the source of this 746-nucleotide long non-coding RNA. RefSeq lists it as uncharacterized. The transcript has 3 exons. Lineage: Eukaryota; Viridiplantae; Streptophyta; Magnoliopsida; Malvales; Malvaceae. The record is from RefSeq and is a predicted model, not a curated record.
AAGUAUGGGAGUAUCUGCCACUUAGGGCCCGUUCUUUAUCCCGUUUGAGAAUCACUUUUUCACCCAAAAGUGCUUUUCUCUUAAAAGGAGCAAAGAACAACCUCCUUUUUCUCUUAAAAUUUCUCCAUCAAAAAAGUGCUUCUCUCUAGAUGGAGAAGCUAAAAAUUUCACCAUCUAAAACGCUGGAAGGCUAAUAAAAGACCAAAUUAACCUAUUUCUCCCCCUUGAAAAAACGUUCUUUCCUCUGCUGUGAAAGCUCUAUACCCAUUUUUUUUUUUCACAUUUUUGCUGUGAAAGCUCUUUUCUGUUCUUUGUUCCUCUUCCGCAGGUAGAAUAUGAUAUUCUCAGGUGCUAGCAUUUGAUGUUGGUGAAUUAUGUGACCUUUGGUGGAGAGUGUGAGGCUCUGCGCUGAGCAAAUAGAUGCAGGCAGUUGGCUUUUAGUAGUAAUGAAGAACAUACAGGUUGUGGAAGGCUCUCCAGUUUUAUGCAGGCUUCAGCAUUUUCAUGCUUUAUGUGUAUCAACUCCCUAUAGAGUUCUCAAGUAUGUUACAGUGGAUAGCUGAUUUUGUUGGUCUAUUCAAAAUAUGUUCAACAUCUGAGUGGACUGAAAUUUGCUCUUCUGUUUCUCUUGUACUUUUUUACAUCAUGGUAUGUACUAGUUUUAUUACUAUAGGUCUGAUUUUGUUUAAAGAUUUUAGCUGAACCUUUAAAUGAAAUGCAAUACACGCUAAAUUGUUCAAUUGAAA